UACAGAGGUCCCAAGCGUUGUUCGGAUUCACUGGGCGUAAAGGGUGCGUAGGUGGUGAGGUAAGUCGGAUGUGAAAUCUCCGAGCUCAACUCGGAAAUGGCAUUGGAAACUACCUUGCUCGAGGGUUGGAGGGGGACUGGAAUGCUUGGUGUAGCAGUGAAAUGCGUAGAUAUCAAGCGGAACACCAGUGGACGAAGGCGAGUCCCUGGACAACUCCUGACACUGAGGCACGAAAGCUAGGGGAGCAAACAGG
RNAcentral lists this ribosomal RNA (253 nucleotides) under uncultured bacterium. RNAcentral describes it as "partial 16S ribosomal RNA". It matches the Rfam family "Bacterial small subunit ribosomal RNA", at positions 524 to 776 of the family's 1533-position model. The record is from RNAcentral.